GGACUACAGGGGUAUCUAAUCCUGUUUGAUCCCCUUGCUUUCGCGCCUCAGCGUCAGGAAUAAGAUAGAAAACCGCCUUCGCCACAGGUGUUCUUCCACAUAUCUACGCAUUUCACCGCUACUUGUGGAAUUCCGUUUUCUCCUCCUACCCUCAAGAAAAAUAGUUUCAGAUGCUGUUCCGGGGUUGAGCCCCGGGAUUUCACGUCCGACUUAUUUUCCCGCCUACGCGCCCUUUACGCCCAAUAAAUCCGAUUAAUGCUUGCACCCUCCGUAUUACCGCGGCGGCUGGCAC
Molecule: ribosomal RNA, 292 nt
Filed under: uncultured bacterium
Lineage: Bacteria
Description: partial 16S ribosomal RNA
Source: RNAcentral